This 1749-nucleotide unclassified non-coding RNA is filed under the name Hevea brasiliensis (rubber tree). Lineage: Eukaryota; Viridiplantae; Streptophyta; Magnoliopsida; Malpighiales; Euphorbiaceae. The record is from RNAcentral.
UUAUUUUAUUUCAUUUUAUUUUUGUUACAGUUGCCAAAUGAACAGUUCUUCAUUUAUUUUUCAUCUAUGAGUUUCCAUAAUAACUUUGGUUGUCGGUAUAAAAAUUUUAAGCCAAAAAGAUAACAAAGUUGCCAUAACAAGUUUUUCUUGAAUUGUCAACAUUUUCCUUUUCUUUUUCCCUUGUACUUGAACUUACAAAAAAUUUUGAUGAUUCUGUAACAAAUAUGCAUAUAAAAUCUCAUUCCAUGUAUCUGGAACUCCUGGUAAACACCAGUGAAUACAAUCGGCAAAUAUUUUUGGAUCAGAUCUCUGUUCGUUUGUCAACAGCUUGCCCCUUCUUUCCCCAUAAAUUGUUGUGUGUGCAUCUUUCCUAUACUCUGACAACUGGGUAAUAUUCAAAAACGUUACAUUGAUUUUUAAUUCUUGCAAGACGUCACCAACUGUCUUCAUGAUCUGGAGAUUUGAACCCGUUCCCCAAUAUGGUCCUUCAAUUGGGUAGGAUUCAUUGAAGCAGUUUUCAUCGCUUCCAGGUUUCCAUUCCCAGCUCCUACAAUAGAAUGUUUGUUAUGAAUUUCUCUCAAUAGAAUGCUUCAUCCAAAAUCUAUCUUGGCUUCAAAAAGUGGAAGUCGGAAUGAGAUGAAAAGAGAAGCGUGUCUACUCACCACAGGUGUGUUGGAGAUAUACUCAUGAAGAAAACCUUCUGCUUGCGGGGGUCGAUAUUGGAUUCUAACCAAUUUGUCCAAGUUUCUAAUGCCAACUUGUAUGCAGUGGUGACAUUAUAUUCUUGAAUAUCAUCGGCUGACCCAUAACUGAAACAAACGCCACGUGGUAAAUAAAUGACGACAUGCGCUAAUGCAAUUUAAAUCAAGCCAUUUUAACCAAGUUACAUGAACCUGUAUUGGUAAUUGGAUUAAUUAAUUAAUUAUUUUUUACCGAUUAUUUGAAUUUGUAUCGGUAAAUAGAUAUUGGAAUAUACACGCAAGGAUUGAAUGCAUACGUAGCAUUAAUAAGAGGCUUGUGCAUCCACCAGACACAGCUCUCAAACACCAAAACAUCAACUCCUUCCCAGCUCUUGCCAUGUUUGGCUAUGGAGUCGAGAUUAACGAGCCGUUUUAGUACUGGAUGAUUCGUGGCAUGAUCUGAAAUAGACUCCACGAUGAAGGGAGCCCAAUAAUACUCGAUUGAUGCAUUGAACUCCUCAGCUUUGAAGAUCUUCAUUGGUGGAAUCCUGUGAAAGGAUUUUUUCCCGUCAGGAAUUGCAGAUUGCACCAUGCAGACCAUAGAUUCAAAUUGGCCUCUUUGCACCGAGUCUCCUAUAAACAUCAGCCUUUUGCCCCUCAAAAUGUCCAGCAGCUUUAGUGGAUCAAACCUUGGCAAUGUGCAUUGGUUAGGCUUCCACCUCCAGUUCUGGUAGUAAGAAUCAGGUCUACCAUUUCUUUGACAAGUGGUUUGUUUAACCAAGUAAGGGCAACUCUCUUCUCUGUAUAAAGGAUGGGAUACAUUGUCCCACACCCAUUGCCCUUCAAAGACAUUGCAGCCUUCCUCAAAGCGAUCUUUAGGCAAAACAAAGACUGGUUUUUCCCGGUCUUGCCUUCCAUUAUAUAGUCUACAAUUAUGGCUCUUUAGAAUAUCUAGGACUAAUCUUGCAGUUCCUAGAACAAGAAUAGAAGCUAAUACCACAGAGAAGAGGGAUUGAAUCCGGCGAUCCAGAGAAGGCUGGAUCAUGAUUUAGGUUAGGGUGGAUAAAGG